AGUCCCACAGAUCAUCUUGAGGUAACAAACUGCUCAGAGGACAGACACAGUCCACCUGUCAGAGUCACGGAUGGAGAUUUAAGCAGAAAAUCACCUUCUCAUGACCUGGAGCAUCUGAGACCAGUUGAGCACACAGCAAACCUGUUAGAUGCCAUCAGACAGGUUCCAGAAAGACGUUGUGUGACGGCGCCAUGUGGAGAUCGUUCACGGUCCUACAUACAUCUGAAGUCCUCAACCAACAUGGGUUACUCAAAACAAAUCAUGCAAAUUCCUCAUAUUACAGAGGAACAGAUGGAGGAGCCAAUUAAAUCCAGUCCAGAGUUCUGCCUCCUCUCAUCUGUCUCGGAGGAACUGCAGGAUUUGGAACCACAAACAUUCCAGAUCAUGGAGGAGGAAGUGACAUCACUUGAUCCGUCCCGAUCCGGAAUCAUCCAUCAGUCAGAACUCACGGGUCUCUUCCUCAGACUGAAGCUCCCUCUGAAGCUCACCACACUGGCCUGCAUGUUCAGAUCCUUCAGAAACACCACUGACCUGGAGCAGGUGCACUAUCAAGACUUGCUGCAGUUCAUACAGAAGGCUGUACAAGACGUGAAACAGCAAAGUGUUGAGGCAGAGAUCUGGGAUGCGUCAGUGGGCAGUACUGACCUGGAAUCAGUGAGCGACUGGAGCGAUAUAAAUGAAGAACAAAGAGAGACAUGGCUUCAGAGGUUCCAGAAGAUGGAGAUGGCCUUACAAAUGUGUGACACCAGAAACACAGGUUAUGUGGAUAGAGAGCAAGCCAAACGCCUGAUACAGAACUACAGCCUCAUCUUUGAUCUGAAUAUGAGUCCACUAAAGAUCAGCGAGGUCAUGGGUAACACUCAGCGAGAGGGCAAAGUUCACCUCACCUCGACUCUGCAGCAGCUGAAGGAACUAUACUCCUCUUUUCCUUUCACUUAAAUCUAUGCAAAUGCUAUCAUCUUCAUUAAAUGCUCUGUCUAGGAAACAUUAACAAUGAUCCUGUAAAAAAGGCUUUUUUGGAAAACAUUGAAAACUGAGUGAAUUUUUUUUUUUUUUUUUUUUAUAAUAUAUUGUAUAAAAAAAACUUAAUCCUAAAUUAAUCAUAUCCUAAAUAAAUAAAUAUUCCUAAGAAUAAUUGUAAUUUUCCCUUAAAAAAAUAUUUCUUAUUUUCCUUUUGAUUUUAGAUUUCUUUGGUCAGGUUUCAUGACAUUGACGUCACCCUCACUUUCUGCAGUUUAAUCAGUCAACAAUCAACUGUUACUUUUGGGGUUCUAGUGUGCUUUAAUAGUUCUGGUUCAUAAUUUCAAUAUUCAAGCAAGAAAUUGUUGCAAAAACAGGAAUAAAAAUGUACUUUUGGUGCUCAGAUGUGUGCUCACAGUCAGUUCUGGUCAAUGAUUGCCAUAUUUAAUGCUUAUUGGUGCAGGAAUAAACAGAUGUACAUACAUGAUCUAAAGAAUAUUGAAUUACUUCUGCAAUGUUUAAAAAAUAAAAUAAAAAUUCUCAUGUGCAAUACUGGACUCGACCAAAAGUAAAACAUUCUUAC
This is a long non-coding RNA of Cyprinus carpio carpio, 1543 nucleotides long. NCBI's taxonomy places the organism in Eukaryota, Metazoa, Chordata, Actinopteri, Cypriniformes, Cyprinidae. The record is from Ensembl.